This is a long non-coding RNA of Thunnus maccoyii (southern bluefin tuna), 4893 nucleotides long. RefSeq lists it as uncharacterized. Lineage: Eukaryota; Metazoa; Chordata; Actinopteri; Scombriformes; Scombridae. The transcript has 2 exons. The record is from RefSeq and is a predicted model, not a curated record.
CCUGUUAUUCAGUUUUCUUUUACAUUGGUCAAAAUAUCAAAUUCUAACAGCAAACUUUAAGAAGACACAACUCAGCUCCGACAGUUUUUAUCAUUGCACUAAAUUUCUAUUUUUAAGCGUCAGAAGACAGAAACAGAAGCUGUAAAUAUGAAGUUUCAUGCAAGUUUCUCACAUUGAGCAUCGCUGUGUUGGUUUCAUUCUGAUUUUUAAGGUUUAUGUUUCGGUUUUCUUGUUUGUUUGAUUGUUUUUUUUUUGGGGGGGGGGGGGUCUAUCACAAUGAAUUUUAAGUUGUUUGUGUUUUAUCUUCCAACAUCUUGCCUGUUGCAUAAAGCAGCUGUGUGCUAAACACCAUCAUUUACACCACAUUCUGUAAACUGACUGUUGUGUUUCUUUGGUUUUGCAGUGGAUCAGAUCCACUCUCAGCUUCUCUCUCUCUCUCUGAGUGAAGGUCAGAGAGUCUCAGUGUGGAUAAUUGAAGUGUGAGUUUGUAAUUAAGAAGUGUGAAGUGAGAUAAUCUCAGAGAGAGACGAGCAGCUAGUUUCAGUCUCGUAGAGACAGACGGAGGAGGAAGUUCUUAUCUCUCUGCAGGAGCGAGGGAUUAAUAUGUAAAGACGGAGGGAGGACAGCGAGGACGGAGGAGGACGAGUCGGUCCAUCUGAUAAGAGCUGAAGCUGCUGUUAAACCGCUUCCUGACACACACCUGAACCCAGAUCAGAUUUAAAGUCUCUGAGAAAAAGAACAAGAUGACUUCCUGUUCUUAUCUGAGUCACUACUGCAGCAGCAUUUCAGCAUCCACUGGGCAGGUUUUCCUGCUCUCCAGAGGAUGAACUCUUUUAAUUUUAAUGACUCUGUGACUUUUUUAAGGUUCCAGGAGUCUCUGAGGAAGUUCAGGAGUCCUCAAGAGCAGUAAAGAUUUUUGUGCACAGAGGCUUUUAUGCUCAAUACGUUCUGUGUCGCAGAAUAUUCCAAACAAAAUAUUCUGCGAGGAAGCAAGAAGUCGAGUGUCACUGUGAGGACGUCAUCGACCAAACAUGGCUGCUUGCUGUGCUGCAGAGCUGCUGAGGAAGAAUUAUUGUGUCUGUGGCUGAAACAAAAAAAAGCAACUUAAAGCUUUAAGAACGUUAAUAUUCUUCACACAUCUGUCUCCAGUUUGAUGGUCUUGAUUUUCAGCAGCAGGAGGUGAAGGUCAGGAAUUCAUUCAUCAACACAAAUCAUCUGAGCAUUCAUGUUGUUUCUCCUAAUCAUCCGUCCUCGUCCUCGCCGCCGUUCGUAUUUGAAGGUCAGAGUUAAUAGAAAAGUUUUAAAUGAGCGUCGCUGUGCUGCAUCUGUCAGCUGCUAACUGCUGUUCAAUCAGUCUGCUAUUAUCUGACAUUAGAGAACAGAGAGUCAGGACAGACGGGGAAUAUCAAACAACAGAACAGAUUUAAAGAAAAGAGAACCAACAGCAACAGGAAGUGAUGUCAUCAUCCAAUCCAAGAAUUCAAAUCUGUCCUUGUGCAGAACCUUCCUCCAACACAACACAGCUGGCUUUCCUGACAGUCGUGUAGGAAAUAUGGAUCAUUUAGGAAGUUCUAGAGGUACUUUGGCUGGUUCUAGUGGUCCUUUAGUAGGUUCUUGUGUUCCUGUCCGAUGGUCACUGAGCAGAGUAGUCAUUUAGGUGGUUUUAGUGGUUUUGGGGUGGUUCAAGUGUUCCUGUAAGGUUCACUGAGAAGGUUCUAGUUGUUCUUUCGGGUGUUUUCGUGGUUACUGAGGAGGUAACGGUCCCUAAGGACUUAUAACAGAUCCUGCAGGAGGUUCUAGUGGUCCUUUAGAAACUGAUAGGUGUCCUUUACGAUCCAGCAAUGACUUGUAAAGGUCCUUAAAUGGUUAUACUCAUUCUUUAGAUAGUUCUUGUGGGCAUUGAAGAGGUUCUAGUGAUUCUUUGGGUGAUUCUAGGGGUCACCGAGGACACUGCAUAGGUCUCACUCCUUUAAGUGGUUCUAGGUUGAUCUUGUGGACACUAAGAAGGUUCUAGAGGUUUAUGUGGUUCUUCUGGUCCUUUGGGAGAUUCUGUUUGUCACUGAGGGUGUUUUGGUCUCUUUAAGGUGGUUCUACUUGUCUUAUGGGCCAAGUGGUCUCUUAGGAGGUUCUAAAGGUCUCUUAUCUUGUGUUCAUUAGCAAGGUUCUAGUGGUCAUUUGGGUGCUUUGAGGGUUCCUGUAGUUGGGUUUUGUGGUUAUUGAGGAGGUUCUAGUAUUCAUUGAAAGGGUUCUAAAGUUCCUUAAUGAGCUCUAUUUGUCCUUUAAGUGCUUCUAGUCACCAUGAAGUAGGUUCUAGGGGUCCUCUGGAAGGCUCUAAUUGUCUCAAAUAGGUUCUUGUGGUCAUGUAAGUGGUGUUGUAGGAGGUUUUAGAGGUCGUUUAGGAGGCUGAGGUGGUAUUUUAGGUGGUUCCACUAGUCCUCUAGUGUUCUUUUAGUAAGGGUUCUCGGUUCUUUUGUAGUGAUGUGUUACGUGUGUGACGUGUUCUUUGAACUGAAUGAGUCCCGUUGUAAUAGUGUGUCUAUUAGAGAUGAAAGCAGGAAGCAGGUCAUCAGUCUGUUUAUUCAGAGAAGUCUUCGACAUUAAAACUGAACCGACUGAGUCACAGCUCGCUGUUACAGCCGAGCUGCUGCUGGUGAGCGCGGGUCUAUUUUCAGUCCUUAUUAAUGCCGAACAUCAACAGCUGAGGAAUACAUUUGCAUCCUCUCUCGCUUCUUCUUCUCUUCAUUUACUUUCUGUUCGUCCUCUUCGUUUCUUCUUCUGCUGUUCAGCUGCUUCCUAAUUGGUGUUUGUCUUUGGAUGAAUGUGAGAGAGGCAGAAACAGAGAUAAAUAAGAUCCAUCUUUAAUGAUCCUUCAGGGGAAUCAGACUGCUGAAAUAAUGACCUGAUAGAAACUGAGGUUAUUUAAACAUUGGAGGAUAAACUGUGGAUCACAGCAUCAUCAGGAAGUCUGCAAAUUAUCAUUAUUAUUUUAACAUUAUCAACGUGUUGAUGUUUUAUUUUCAUGUGAACAUGCAGGUUUGUGGUUCUGAUAUUUUAGAUAUUUAUGAUAAUGUGGAUCAGAUCAGGUGAACUUGUUUUUUUCUGAUUGCAGCGAUGCUCCAGUGUUCAGUAUCAGAGAGUUUAUUGUUAGUGUGGAGCUGAGAGGAGGCAUCAACCUGCAUCUGUGCACCAGAUCACCACACAGGAUGUUAACAUCCAGCAAAACUCAUGUUCAACAUUCAUAACAUAACAAGGUAACAGCAGGAUGAUAUUCUGAUAACAUAAUAACAAUAAAGUAAUAACGAGGUAAUAGCUUGGUGUUAACAGCAGACAGAUCCUGGUAGUAUCAGAAAGAAUUAACAACAAUAAGCUUAUAUCAGCAUCAUAAUAAUAUGGUGACAUUAAUGGGUUAAUAACCUGACAAUAGUAAGGUCUUUGAUGUUACUACAGUUCUACAGUAUGAAAUGAAAUGCACUCCUGAUCUGCCUCCAUAUGAUACAACUAACGGAUGUAAAAAGAACCAAUGAAACAACAGGAUUCAUGAGUGAGUGGCUGAGCAGCCAAUCAAGAGCCCACAGGGAGGCGGUCCCUGUUCGUGUUCCUCACGAUUAUUCGAUUAUUGUUAGACGGACGGUUCACGCACGCUGGACUCCUGGUCAGGUUCACUCAGUCAGUCCUGGAGCCGUGAAGCGGAGACGUUCAUCUAGUCGCAGUACGGCAGCCUCGAAGGACACAAACCUACAUCGGGAGGAGGAAGGAGGAGGUCGGGUUCAGGUCGGUGAUGAAGAUGCUGCUGUUGUAUGAAACAGAGACCAGGAUCAAGUCUGAACACUUUCACACUGCUGCAGUUUCUACCAGCUGAUGUUUUACUGCAACAUUUUGGUGGGAAAAAGAACAACGAGGUCGAACGUUUCACUCACAUAUACAGCAGCGACUUAAAUAUGUUCAUUAACAAUUACGUUGAUUCAGCAGCGUCACGUUUCUUAUCAAACAUAUUUGCAGUUCAGUCGAAUAUGAAGGUAACUUCUAGGAGACAGAGCUGAGAGAGUUAAACCUCACUGGUGCAGAUCGUCUCUGAGGACUAAAAGCUUUCGUUGAAGGUUAAACUCAGGUUUCUUUGUUUAGGUUAAAAUCUAAAUGUCUUAAAUUCAGAUUAAAAGCAAACAGUCUUUCGUGUGUUUGGAUGUAAAAGUUGUUGCAGGUUUUAGUCUGAUCCUCUCUGCUGCACUUUAGCCUGUUGGAACCAGAUGUUGUUAAUUAUGAAUAUAACCUGUUUAUAACCCUCUGUGUUGUCUGUCACAUCAGCCUGAACAGCCUCUCUGUUAAUAACACACACACACACACACACACACACACACACACACACACACACGCUGAAAACACUAAUCCAUAAUGAAUGUGGCCUCUCAUUAAACGAGAAGCAUUUUACACACACACGCUUCUGAAGAGCAUUUGUAUUUCAGCGUGUGUGUGUGUGAGCAUGUGUGUGAGUGUGUGUGUGUGUGCGUGUGUGUGUGAGCGAUUUGUCGAGCACUUCCUGUUAAUGGCGGAGGAGCAGCAGCGAGGUGGCGUUCGUUUGGUCAAAUCAAAGCAUAAAUGAUUUAGACGUAGCGAGCGCUUGACGCCGCAUGAGUUCACUUCAUGAAACGUUAAAUAUGAUGUUAACACACACACACACACACACACACACACGCGCACACACACACACACACACACACACACACACACACACACGUUGGGAAACUGUGUCAAUAAUAAUGAUGUUAACCGCCAUACAAACCAUCAUCACAGAAACCAAUUAGCUGAUAUAAAACAGUGAACAGAUGAUUAAACUACAAAGGGAAACAUACACAGUUUGUAUUUUCAUUUAAUAAAUAUGAAUAUAUGUAAAUAUUA